This 249-nucleotide ribosomal RNA is filed under the name uncultured Rhodoluna sp. RNAcentral describes it as "partial 16S ribosomal RNA". It matches the Rfam family "Bacterial small subunit ribosomal RNA", at positions 355 to 616 of the family's 1533-position model. The record is from RNAcentral. Lineage: Bacteria; Bacillati; Actinomycetota; Actinomycetes; Micrococcales; Microbacteriaceae.
UGGGGAAUAUUGCACAAUGGGCGAAAGCCUGAUGCAGCAACGCCGCGUGAGGGAUGAAGGCCUUCGGGUUGUAAACCUCUUUUAGCAGGGAAGAAGCGAAAGUGACGGUACCUGCAGAAAAAGCACCGGCUAACUCCGUGCCAGCAGCCGCGGUAAUCCGUAGGGUGCACGCGUUGUCCGGAAUUAUUGGGCGUAAAGCGCUCGUCGGCGGUACGUCGCGUCUGCUGUGAAAAUCCCAGGCUCAACCUU